Long non-coding RNA from Rhineura floridana, 1023 nucleotides. RefSeq lists it as uncharacterized. The record is from RefSeq and is a predicted model, not a curated record. Lineage: Eukaryota; Metazoa; Chordata; Lepidosauria; Squamata; Rhineuridae. The transcript is spliced from 3 exons.
CAAUGACCUUUGGUAAGUUGGCAACAUUAGGUCAUUGACCAUUUGCUAGAAGUCAGCAAAACUGGGAAUAAUACAAUAAAGGAUUCAGAGGCUGCAGUUUGCUUAUCUUGUAGCCUUGUGCACAGUGCAAAAGCACAGAGCAUGAUUACCCCCACCUUCGGAAUUUGUGUAUACUGCCAAAUGCAUCAAGCGCAAAGUGUAUAAUUGCCUGUAAAAUCAUGUAUGCUUCAGAUCUCAUAGACUGACACGAGUCACUGUGAGAUCUCCGCUUUGCAAAACGUAUAAUAAAAGGCCUUGGUUUGUAAUUCUGAGUCUGCGUUGUUUGAGUGAUUGGGUUUUCUCAACCAGCAGAAACGAACCUUAAAUUCUGGUGUAACAGUUCUGGCGAGCAUAGCAGCCAGGAGUCCUUCUGGUAAACCUUGCAAGUGUUUGCCCUGCGCUGGAGAGCUGGAGAAGUGCGCACCAGGCCGUUUUGGCCUGCCUUAGGGCCGGGCAGACGGAGAGCAAGCACUACGUAAGUAGUAAUCGAGGGCUCCCAUAAAGACUCAGACGAACCAACGCUCAUCCUCCUCCCCUGUUCGAAGCAUUGCCAGUGUAUGUGGAGAGGGAGGUGUAGAUGACGGCCUGCUGAAAAGCUCAAGGGAUCCUGGGGAAUGUGGAAACUCCCAAACUGACUCUGAGUGUUGAACACAAGAUGAAUCAGAUUUUUCUUAAGGAAACAGUGUGAUCAGGAGCAGGACUGAGCCAGUCCUGAGCUACUUCUCCACUUUCCAAACACUCCUGCCACCAGCUGAAGCCCUAACUUCUCAAGGGAUGCUUGAGGAAUUUGAUUUCUGUGAACUCCGAUGCAAACUGACCUGAUUAAUACAUCCCAAGCUAAUCAUCCCAUAAACCUACUGGCAAGAGAGAACAGCUGUAAACAUGCUCUGAACUGCUCCUCGGAUCCCAGUUAAUACAUAGCAGAGCUGAUGCUGAGGGAUUAGGCAACGCUGUGGAAAGAACCAAAAUGGCUGCUGUCCUUUG